GGAGCAGUGAAAUAGUGGACAUUUUAAAUCACUCACCACAGUGCCUGGCACUUUAAAAUAUUGAAGCAAUGGAAGAAAGAUUUAAGGAGGAAUUGUUGAUAA
RNAcentral lists this small RNA (102 nucleotides) under Pan troglodytes (chimpanzee). Its description in RNAcentral is "processed transcript". Lineage: Eukaryota; Metazoa; Chordata; Mammalia; Primates; Hominidae. The record is from RNAcentral.